This is a ribosomal RNA of Pedosphaera parvula Ellin514, 116 nucleotides long. Lineage: Bacteria; Pseudomonadati; Verrucomicrobiota; Pedosphaerae; Pedosphaerales; Pedosphaeraceae. The record is from Rfam.
UUUGGUGGUCAUAAAGCUGUGGCCCGACCCGAUCCCAUCCCGAACUCGGCCGUCAAACACAGUCUUGCCGAUGGUAGUGCCUGUAUAGCUUGCGCGAGAGUAGGUUGCCGCCAGAU